RNAcentral lists this long non-coding RNA (123 nucleotides) under Pan troglodytes (chimpanzee). RNAcentral describes it as "lincRNA". Lineage: Eukaryota; Metazoa; Chordata; Mammalia; Primates; Hominidae. The record is from RNAcentral.
AAAUAGCGGCUGCUUCUUUUCCAGGGAUUUAUUUAAUGGGGAUGUGUUCAAGGCAAGACCGAAUUCAGAAGGAUAUCGACGUCGUGAUCCAGAAGUCCAGAGCUGAGGACUGCCUGUUUGCAG